UCCCCUAUAGCUCAAUGGUAGAGCGGCCGGCUGUUAACCGGCAGGUUGCUGGUUCGAGUCCAGCUGGGGGAG
RNAcentral lists this transfer RNA (72 nucleotides) under Phycisphaeraceae bacterium. RNAcentral describes it as "tRNA-Asn". It matches the Rfam family "tRNA". From Rfam's summary of the family: Transfer RNA (tRNA) molecules are approximately 80 nucleotides in length. Their secondary structure includes four short double-helical elements and three loops (D, anti-codon, and T loops). RNAcentral also lists the same sequence under 1 other name. The record is from RNAcentral. Lineage: Bacteria; Pseudomonadati; Planctomycetota; Phycisphaerae; Phycisphaerales; Phycisphaeraceae.